Long non-coding RNA from Vigna radiata var. radiata (mung bean), 1492 nucleotides. RefSeq lists it as uncharacterized. The transcript is spliced from 2 exons. NCBI's taxonomy places the organism in Eukaryota, Viridiplantae, Streptophyta, Magnoliopsida, Fabales, Fabaceae. The record is from RefSeq and is a predicted model, not a curated record.
GGUGGAAAAGUGAAGAAAGGAAGAAAAGCAACCACCAAUAAACGGGAUGACUUCCUCAUCGGGCAAGAAUAUCAAGACAGUUGGAAUCAAGAGGAGGGAACCAGAAAAAUUUUACUCUAAUAGGUUCCUCUCUAGGAGACAUGAGCAGCAUCACCUCCUUGUCUAGUAGAGACGCCUAUUAAUGGAUAGGACGAUAGGUUGGAUCCCAGACUAUGCUCCACAGUUUGGACAAGAGCUUGAGAGUAGGAAUUAGGAAAAGCUGGCUACAUACCCUGCUCUUGCAAAUAUAGCAGUGGUAAAAGGGUUCUACACAAAUGCCAAGCCACUAGGAGAUUCUCACUUUAUGGAAUAUAUGAGUUAUGUGCGUGGAAAGGUCAUAAGGUAUGAUCUUGAAACAAUUAACAGGUUCCUGGAGACAGAGUGGGCAGGUGUGUAGUGCCAAUAUGCUUUCAAUGUGGAGGAGGGCACUGAUUUUGAAGAUAUAGAGAGUGUACUUUGUGUGCCUGGAGGGCACUUUCACAAGAAUCCGAGUGGUGUUGCUAUUCACAUCAAGAGGGCUAACCUGACACCACUAGCGCAGUAUUGGAUGGCAUCCGAGUGGUGUUGCUAUUCCAUUACUGUUAACAGGGCCAUGUUUAUUUACUGUAUGCUCAGAAGAAUGAAUGUUAACAUUGGUCAAGUGAUUGCAAGCGAGAUUAAGAGUUGUGCAACUACUGUGAACACCAAGGAACCUUUAGGGCAUCCCUCUUUGAUCACGCACCUGUGCCAGCAAGCUGGGAUGGACACUUCUACUCCACCAUUUGAGCGACCCAAGAAGGCCAUUGAUGAGGCCUACUACCGACAAUAUUGUGGUGGAGAGGUAGCAGCCCAGCCAGUGCCUCAGAGACGCCCUAGGAGGAGAUUUCCACCAUAACAGGCUCAGGGACCAGCUCAUGAUACAGAGCCCUUUCAGAUGAGGGACAUGUACAUGUCUCUUAUGGAGUUCAGAUUGGUGUCUAUUCAUAGAGGACAGGUUGCUACUGCCGAGAUAAUCAUACGCAUGUAUGACACGCCUCCAACACAUAGGUGGACUAUGGAUGAGUUUAACAGUGUGGUGGCUUGGCUAGAGCAGAUGUAGGGAAGUGUAUCUGGAGCAGCUGAAGCUCCAAAGAUGGAGGAUGAUGAUGAUGACGAUUUUGAGAUGUUGAGGAUGGAGAUGAGGAGGAUUCUGAUGAUAGUAUGGGUUGAGGGGCAGACAUGGCAUCUAUUGAUGGAUGUCAGCUACAUUAGAACAAGAUUUUUCUUUAUCUUUUUGCUUUGUAAUUUGAACUUAUAUUUGCUUCAGUUGAGUAGUGUAGGGUUGAUGUACUUGGUUUGAUACUUUAUCUGUUAUGAUGGUUUGAUUAGUAUUGUUGCAUGAUGAGAAUUGCACUGUAUGCUGAUAUACAGGUGGUGGUUAACAAGCUUUGUGAACAGAUGCAUGAUGAUAUUAUGAUUGUGGUUGUGAUGCUAA